CCCUUAGAAAACAGGAGAUAUGGACGAAGAGAAUCAGUUGAGUUCCCAACAGCAUAACACCCAAAGACAUUUGAUAAUGUUUUCGAUCUGUUUUCCAAGCUUUGCCCUGACCUAGCUUGGCAUUUUCACAGAGCCCACAGAGCUUUAGAUCAUAUGCAUUAUUUUAUGCAUGGCGUGUAAAUCAUCUCAUUCCCCCCACUCAACAUCCAUGAGGUUAGACUUUUUUUUGUACCCCAAAAUUGUCUGACAUACAACAAUACACAGAAAUGAUCACAGAAUCUAUGCUUUCCUCCAAUAUAACGGAACUAGCAAAAGCAAAACGGUCGUGGCUUGCACAUGGAUUUUUAGUCUAACGAUAUGGAUACAACUGGAGACUUUGAUGACUCACUAGGUGGGAGGAUGGGUGUGUUUAAAAGACUUCACGCUGUAUACUGGGAUUACACUUGAGAAAGGGCUAAGCCCGAAACAUGUCGUGUGAUUUGUAAUCAAUAAAAUAUUUUUCUAGCCGUAACUGCUAUCUGAGUGCUCUCCUCUAUACUACAGAAUUUUGAGUCUACAUAGGAUUGCGGUAAUCCUUUGCUACAGAUCGAAGCAUUGAGGAAUGUGUUUAUUCACACAACAUGUUUCGGGCUACCUACCCUUUAUCAAGUGUAAAGCAUACAUUCAGGUACAAACAUUUAAAGGUGUAUACAGGAAGUGAAGUCACCCAGAACAGGUGUGUCAAAUAACAUUAGAAGAAGCUGCUGCUCCUCUAUUAUAAAAGGUGAAGUGAUGCGACACCCUACACAGGGAACGCUGGUCAGUUUAAAACACUAUGCAACUUGCAACACAAGUAACGUGGUUUACCUCCUUCGAUGUCCGUGUUGGAUAACAUAUAUUGGUCAGACAGCAAGAGCAGUUAAAAUAAGCAUCAAAGACAAAGGAAAUAUAUAUACGGAAGUACAAAAAGGGAACAGCUACAGAGACUACAGUGUCUAGACAGUUUAAUGAAACAAUAUGAAACAGAGGUUAUUACACAGAGAAGCCUAUUGGAUCAACCAAAAGGUAUGAAUGAUAGCUGGAGUUUAACAUGUAUCCUUUAACUCUGUCACAAUAAAUAGAUCCUCUGAGGAAGCCGAUUGCCUCAGCGAAACGCGUCAGGCGAAGGUGAUGUUACGGUAAGCUGCAGGGGAGAACCACGAAGGAGAGAAAGAUGCCGGCAAAAUCUCAUUUUUCUUUUUUCUAACUGAACUGGGGAAACCUGCUAGAAACUUUCGUAUGGUGACUAAUCCUCAUGGAGAUAAAUAUCAUGUCUAAAUCAAAUGGACAACAAUCAGAUAUUGGUGACUGCCUUAGCCAGGAAUAGAACGGAAAGGGUUCCUUCAAAUAACAGGGUAGGCUUGAAGGGCAGUACCUGAGAUCAAGUUUGACUUUUAGUAUGUUUUAUCUGGAUAGAAUGGAAAUUAAUUUGUUACACAUGGUGGACACUUUGUUGCGGAACUUCACCUCCCCUCCCUUUUGGAUGGACUAAUCACUUUGUAUCUGUUGGGGAUUCAUUUAACAAUGACUAUUACCCACUUAGCAGGAUUUGGAGACACAGCUGCAACUAAUUGAAGGGGAGGAGUUGGAGGUGGUUACAUUGUUGGUGUUUUGUUAUUUAUGCUCACUUUUAAUUGUACCACUCACACUUGGAAAAGGGUUCUACACCCGAAACAUGUCAUGUGAAUAAAAGCACUUUACAGUAAA
Long non-coding RNA from Xenopus laevis (African clawed frog), 1725 nucleotides. RefSeq lists it as uncharacterized. Lineage: Eukaryota; Metazoa; Chordata; Amphibia; Anura; Pipidae. The transcript is spliced from 4 exons. The record is from RefSeq and is a predicted model, not a curated record.